AGCCUACGCGUCUGCCCGUAAGUCAUAAGCGAAAGCUAUUGCUGGGUUGGACUUUGUGUAUUUGGGACAACUGUCAUUUGCAUUUGUUUGGUAUUUGAUAUUUGGUAUUUGAAUGUAUAUAAAUAUAAUGGCAUUAGCAAAAUUGUUUAAGAAUAAGAGCGCAGGAAAUAUAACUGCUGAUGAAAAGAUACCAAAACCAUCACCGUUGGGAUGUUUAUUGGCACAUUGGGGUGAAUUGCAGGAAAAAUGAUAAACAAACUGACCUUUUGACUUAU
This is a long non-coding RNA of Aquila chrysaetos chrysaetos, 275 nucleotides long. RefSeq lists it as uncharacterized. Lineage: Eukaryota; Metazoa; Chordata; Aves; Accipitriformes; Accipitridae. The transcript has 3 exons. The record is from RefSeq and is a predicted model, not a curated record.